UUUCUUAGAGGAAGUAAAAGUCGUAACAAGGUUUCCGUAGGUGAACCUGCGGAAGGAUCAUUAACCGAGAAGAGGGUCCUCCGGGGCCCAAACUCCCCACCCUUUGUGAACAUACCUUCGUUGCUUUGGCGGGCCGUGGGGCCUUCGGACCCCCCGUCGACUCCGGUGGACGAGCGCCCGUCAGAGACCCCUCCAACUCCGAUAAUUAGCGAAGUCCGAGUCAAAAUAUAAUCGUUAAAACUUUCAACAACGGAUCUCUUGGUUCUGGCAUCGAUGAAGAACGCAGCGAAAUGCGAUAAGUAAUGUGAAUUGCAGAAUUCAGUGAAUCAUCGAAUCUUUGAACGCACAUUGCGCCCUCUGGUAUUCCGGGGGGCAUGCCUGUUCGAGCGUCAUUACACCUCUCAAGCUCAGCUUGGUAUUGGGUGCCGUCCCCCCGGGGGCGCGCCCGAAAGUGAGCGGCGACGCGGUCGGUCUUCAAGCGUAGUAAAACUUCUGUUUCGCUUUCGGAGCCCGGGCGCGCCCGCCGGACAACCCCCAAUUUUGCAGUGGUUGACCUCGGAUCAGGUAGGGAUACCCGCUGAACUUAAGCAUAUCAAUA
This 598-nucleotide ribosomal RNA is filed under the name Xylographa difformis. Its description in RNAcentral is "eukaryotic LSU rRNA". The stretch from base 239 to 392 matches the Rfam family "5.8S ribosomal RNA". The record is from RNAcentral. Lineage: Eukaryota; Fungi; Ascomycota; Lecanoromycetes; Baeomycetales; Xylographaceae.